UUUCUCUUUAGGACAGUGCCAGGGAAUACAUGGGACAGUGGACUCCAGGCUCAUGCCACUUCUGACUCCCCACUGGCCCACCAAGGCUCAGAUGGUUGACUUGCAUCAAGCUCCUCACAGACAUGGGAAUACAUUUACCCAGAAAGGUCCACAGUGCACAUUGGCUUUGCUGAUAAACUUAUCAGCAGCAGAGUGAAACAUCCGUUUCAUUUGUACUGUUUAUGCAGAGGCUUUUUUUCUGGUUGAAGGACCACAGAGAGACAAGUGGGUAGGAAUGGCAACAAUCCUCCCAACAAGCUCAGGCACCCCUGGCAGCAGCCACACCCGCCCUUCACCCACUCAGCAUGUCACGUCAUGUGCUGCAUGAGACAGCACCCAGAGCUCAUCUGAAGCACACACAGGACAUGACCAAUUACCUUUCCUCUGCUUAGACUCACCAAGAGGGACAUUUUGAAACUGUUCUUUCCGAAAAGCACUAAGUGACAAAGCCAGCUCUGUGCAAAGCCAGCAGAGGUGGAGGGCACUGCUGACAGCUCAUAGGAUAAAGCUCAUGUUUGGAUUUUACUGCCUUAUUGGAGAACUCCCUGGGUAAUUUUCUGGGUAUUUUCUAGGUUACUUCCUUAUUGCUCUCUGGGUAAAC
Lepidothrix coronata (blue-crowned manakin) is the source of this 640-nucleotide long non-coding RNA. RefSeq lists it as uncharacterized. Lineage: Eukaryota; Metazoa; Chordata; Aves; Passeriformes; Pipridae. The record is from RefSeq and is a predicted model, not a curated record. The transcript is spliced from 3 exons.